CUAAAUUCUAAUUAACACAUGCACAAGUAGACACACAAACUAAAGCAAUAUGAACAUACUAAAAAUCCUGUGAUAGCCAUUUCCUCCACUGAACAGGAAGUCAGAAAAAUUUCAAACAUCAUACUUUAACGAACUCCUCCUAGAGGAUCAAUCAUAGCAACGAGCAACUCCAUAUUCAGUCGCUGUCAUCUAAAGACCUUUGUGGUGAAGUUAUCAAUAGAUUUGUAUUCCAUGGAAUGUCAUGGACGUUGCCUCGUGGUAAAGUUUGAUGUUGCUCCAUAAUAGGGGAUGUUCCUCUGCUUUGCAGGUACCUGAAAGCACCUUGUCUUCGAGUGUCGACAGCACCACUGACCUGUUCACAUCCAUGGACAGGUCAGAACAGAGGACAAAGGUGACUGACUUCACUGUCGAUAUGCGCACUGAAUACAAACAGACUUGGACACAUUGUUCCCGACGGUAAAGAAACGGGAUUCUGUCAUGCAACGUUUAGGUGCCCGGACCAGUGGAGCGGCCUUCUGCGCCAUCUGUCGUGAAGUGUUGUGAACAGGUGGCCAUGGGAAGUCAGUUUACAGCAAGGAAUUGCAUACAUAUAACAGUGAAUGAAGAUUUUUCUAAACGUGAUUCGAAAGGCUGUUUCAGAACUGACAUAAUAACAUGUAAUAAUGACAUUUAAAAAAAUGUAUUUAUAUAUUUUUAUUAUUAUUAUUAUUUUUUUAUUAUUAUUGAAGCAUGAUACAGCUUAUGUAGCCAACAAAAUUACCCUCACCCAGCCUCCCUGAACACCCCUUGGCAGCUGCUGUGUUCCCAAAAUAUUACAAAUACAAGUGCACAUUUUCACAACAAUGCCUCAGACGGUUCAGAUUGCACUCAUUCGUCAUGAACUUUUGUGUAAACAGAAAUAAUUAAUUGCAAGUAGAACAUAUAUAAAGGCAGGUCUCAAACUUUAAUCAAGUGCCCUCAUUCAGUGGGUAGUUCUUUUGAACUCUCAAAGUACAACAAUGGAUUUUUGAAUACAACUUUUUGACAGACCCUAACCCUCAGUGUAAAUUUGGAUCUUUCCUAGUUUAAGCAGAAACAUUAUGUCCUCCAGCCAAGCAGCAGCAGGUGGAGGGGUUGUAGAUUUCCAGACCAGCAAAAUUCUUCUACGGGCCAAAAGCGAUGUGAAUGAUGUCAGAUUGGUUUGCAUUUAAAACCAAAGUUCAAUCCGCUACACCAAAUACAGCUAUAAGUGGGCAAGCUCUCACUGUCACCCCGAGGACUUCACUGAUGUCUUUAUUUUUUUAAACUCUGCCUAGUGGCCACUGAGCUAGGCCACUAUGCAUGAUGGCUCCUUGUCAUGGCUUACUGAGACACCUCAAAAGAACAGGGUACUGAUAACGUUAUACGUAACACUGGUGCUUUUCCCGCUGAUGAUAAGUCAAACUGAAUGAGGAAAAUGAAUCGUCCAUACACUCAAAUCUGUGCAAAUACCUUUUUUAAUUUGCAUGCUUUCCGUCAGAGACUUUCUUUGAGGCAUGAACAGGUUUCAAAUGCAGGACAACUGUGUCAAUCAGCUUGGCCUGUGUGACUGCAGACAAAAGAUUAAAGACUGUGUCCAAAGAGACAAGCAAGAAUCUUUCAGAACCUCCAACAAAAAUAUCAAAAAGAUAAGAUAUAUACAGAAUACAGAGGGAGAUUAUUGUUAGUAAUUCAUAAGAGAACACUUCA
Molecule: long non-coding RNA, 1707 nt
Filed under: Scophthalmus maximus (turbot)
Lineage: Eukaryota; Metazoa; Chordata; Actinopteri; Pleuronectiformes; Scophthalmidae
Description: lncRNA (ENSSMAG00000024753.1)
Source: RNAcentral